UGGAGAUCGACUUCUCCAGACCCGGAAAGCCAACGGACAACGCAUUUUGCGAGGCCUUCAAUGGGCGGCUACGCGCAGAAUGUCUCAACGCAUCAUGGUUCCUGUCGAUGGCUGACGAUGGCUGACGCCAUCGAUCGACUCGACGAAUGGAGGUGCCAUUACAACAACGACAGACCCCAUACCUCGCUCGGCAACUUGACCCCGAACGAGUUCGCACGACAAACUCAAACAGCCCG
RNAcentral lists this unclassified non-coding RNA (236 nucleotides) under Hevea brasiliensis (rubber tree). Lineage: Eukaryota; Viridiplantae; Streptophyta; Magnoliopsida; Malpighiales; Euphorbiaceae. The record is from RNAcentral.